This 130-nucleotide non-coding RNA is filed under the name Acinetobacter sp. RNAcentral describes it as "TPP sequence". It matches the Rfam family "TPP riboswitch aptamer (THI element)". From Rfam's summary of the family: Vitamin B(1) in its active form thiamin pyrophosphate (TPP) is an essential coenzyme that is synthesised by coupling of pyrimidine and thiazole moieties in bacteria. The previously detected thiamin-regulatory element, thi box was extended, resulting in a new, highly conserved RNA secondary structure, the THI element, which is widely distributed in eubacteria and also occurs in some archaea. The record is from RNAcentral. Lineage: Bacteria; Pseudomonadati; Pseudomonadota; Gammaproteobacteria; Moraxellales; Moraxellaceae.
CAUCGCUUGACGGAGCGCGAGUAAGUCCUCGCUGAGAUCGGGUCAGUUCCUCCUUUAGAUGAACUUAAGCCCGAGUACCGUUGAACCUGAUCAGGUUAAGACCUGCGUAGGAAUCAAGCCAUCUAAAAAC